This 253-nucleotide ribosomal RNA is filed under the name uncultured bacterium. RNAcentral describes it as "partial 16S ribosomal RNA". It matches the Rfam family "Bacterial small subunit ribosomal RNA", at positions 524 to 776 of the family's 1533-position model. The record is from RNAcentral.
UACAGAGGUCUCAAGCGUUGUUCGGAUUCAUUGGGCGUAAAGGGUGCGUAGGCGGCGCGGUAAGUCGGGGGUGAAAUCUCGGAGCUUAACUCCGAAACUGCAUUCGAUACUGCCGUGCUUGAGGACUGGAGAGGAGACUGGAAUUUACGGUGUAGCGGUGAAAUGCGUAGAUAUCGUAAGGAAGACCAGUGGCGAAGGCGGGUCUCUGGACAGUUCCUGACGCUGAGGCACGAAAGCGUGGGGAGCAAACAGG